UACGAAGGGGGCUAGCGUUGCUCGGAAUCACUGGGCGUAAAGGGUGCGUAGGCGGGUCUUUAAGUCAGGGGUGAAAUCCUGGAGCUCAACUCCAGAACUGCCUUUGAUACUGAGGAUCUUGAGUUCGGGAGAGGUGAGUGGAACUGCGAGUGUAGAGGUGAAAUUCGUAGAUAUUCGCAAGAACACCAGUGGCGAAGGCGACUCACUGGCCCGUUACUGACGCUGAGGCGCGAAAGCGUGGGGAGCAAACAGG
Molecule: ribosomal RNA, 253 nt
Filed under: uncultured bacterium
Lineage: Bacteria
Description: partial 16S ribosomal RNA
Rfam family: Bacterial small subunit ribosomal RNA
Source: RNAcentral